UUAAUACGCCAGACGUACGUUCCGUCAAAACAAUACUAACUAGUGACGCUCAGAUGAAAAUGGUGUGAAAGCCAAAACAUGUACAAAGUCGAAAAGCACCGAGGACCAAAAGUUCCAAAAAAUUGUGACCAAUACGGCCAGGGCUAUCCGUCUGGGACAAGAACACCCUUAAUAUUUAUAAUUAUUCAUACUUUAGCAAACAGUAAAUUCUUUGGGAUUCUACUUUUUAGAAGAGAGGUUUUUCGUUAUUACGAUUUUUGUUCAGUGUACAGCACAUGAUACAUUAAGGGUACCUCUAUAAAAUGAUGACAUCACA
This 316-nucleotide long non-coding RNA is filed under the name Mytilus galloprovincialis (Mediterranean mussel). The record is from RNAcentral. Lineage: Eukaryota; Metazoa; Mollusca; Bivalvia; Mytilida; Mytilidae.